GUCGUAACAAGGUAGCCGUAGGGGAACCUGCGGCUGGAUCACCUCCUUUCUAAAGGAAAAAAAACUUUGAACACAGUGUACGUUCAAAGUAACCACCGUCUAUUCGUUUUGCUUUUUUCAACUAUGUUGAUAAAGAGCAUUAAUUGGGCGUGUAGCUCAGUUGGUUAGAGCGCGCGCUUGAUAAGCGUGAGGUCGGAGGUUCAAGUCCUCCCUCGCCCACCAACAAUGUUGGGGGAUUAGCUCAGCUGGGAGAGCGCCUGAUUUGCAUUCAGGAGGUCAGCGGUUCGAUCCCGCUAUCCUCCACCAACUUCUUUAAAAUCGUAAAUAUGUAAGCUGAUAACAACGAAUAACUCUGCACAAGUUGUUCGUUAAAACACAAAUAAAAUAACAACAAAUAACUACAAAAAGUUAUUAACUAACACAAACUCUUCACUGUGUGUUAAUAAUUCAAGCGCGUAAGAGCAUUUGGUGGAUGCCUUGGC
RNAcentral lists this unclassified non-coding RNA (482 nucleotides) under uncultured marine bacterium. RNAcentral's name for it is "partial 16S-23S ribosomal RNA intergenic spacer". The stretch from base 146 to 219 matches the Rfam family "tRNA". The record is from RNAcentral.